This is a non-coding RNA of Phthorimaea operculella (potato tuberworm), 74 nucleotides long. The record is from the annotation of a GenBank genome assembly. NCBI's taxonomy places the organism in Eukaryota, Metazoa, Arthropoda, Insecta, Lepidoptera, Gelechiidae.
GCCGCUGAAGCCCAGUUGGUAGAUGCGUCGCCAGUACAGAUGGCGAGGACGCUGGUUCAAUCCAGCCUGCGGUU